RNAcentral lists this unclassified non-coding RNA (336 nucleotides) under soil metagenome. Its description in RNAcentral is "partial contains 5.8S ribosomal RNA, internal transcribed spacer 2, and large subunit ribosomal RNA". The stretch from base 1 to 120 matches the Rfam family "5.8S ribosomal RNA", at positions 35 to 154 of the family's 154-position model. The record is from RNAcentral.
GAUGAAGAACGCAGCGAAAUGCGAUAAGUAGUGUGAAUUGCAGAAUUCAGUGAAUCAUCGAAUCUUUGAACGCACAUUGCGCCCCUUGGUAUUCCAUGGGGCAUGCCUGUUCGAGCGUCAUUUGUACCUUCAAGCUUUGCUUGGUGUUGGGUGUUUGUCUCGCCUCCGCGUGUAGACUCGCCUCAAAACAAUUGGCAGCCGGCGUAUUGAUUUCGGAGCGCAGUACAUCUCGCGCUUUGCACUCACAACGACGACGUCCAAAAGUACAUUUUUACACUCUUGACCUCGGAUCAGGUAGGGAUACCGCUGAACUUAAGCAUAUCAAUAAGCGGAGGA